GACGGAGGAUGGAAGCGUUAUCCGGAAUUAUUGGGCGUAAAGCGUCCGCAGGUGGCGAUUUAAGUCUGCUGUCAAAAACCACAGCUUAACUGUGGGCAGGCAGUGGAAACUGGAUUGCUAGAGUGCGGCAGGGGUAGAGGGAAUUCCCAGUGAAGCGGUGAAAUGCGUAGAUAUUGGGAAGAACACCAGUGGCGAAGGCGCUCUACUGGGCCGCAACUGACACUCAUGGACGAAAGCUAGGGGAGCUAAUGGG
This 253-nucleotide ribosomal RNA is filed under the name uncultured bacterium. RNAcentral's name for it is "partial 16S ribosomal RNA". It matches the Rfam family "Bacterial small subunit ribosomal RNA", at positions 524 to 776 of the family's 1533-position model. The record is from RNAcentral.